Molecule: ribosomal RNA, 253 nt
Filed under: uncultured bacterium
Lineage: Bacteria
Description: partial 16S ribosomal RNA
Rfam family: Bacterial small subunit ribosomal RNA
Source: RNAcentral
UACGAACUGUGCAAACGUUAUUCGGAAUCACUGGGAUUAAAGGGUGCGUAGGCGGCUUGUUAAGUAGGGUGUGAAAUCCCCCGGCUCAACCGGGGAAUUGCGCCCUAAACUGGCGAGCUGGAGUGAGAUAGGGGUGUGUGGAACUUCCAGUGGAGCGGUGAAAUGUGUUGAUAUUGGAAGGAACGCCAGUGGCGAAAGCGACACACUGGGUCUCAACUGACGCUGAGGAGCGAAAGCGUGGGGAGCAAACAGG